UAGAUCUUUGGUAUGUACUUCCAAUGUGGUC
This 31-nucleotide non-coding RNA is filed under the name Mus musculus (house mouse). The record is from RNAcentral. Lineage: Eukaryota; Metazoa; Chordata; Mammalia; Rodentia; Muridae.